AGUUUGUUGACGAAAAUAAGUCAACCUCUUCGCGAAGAAGAUAAAAGAUAUCUGUCACCAUUACGCCAUACCUGGUGGUACGGUUUUAAAAAAUAUUUGUACAAUUUCUGGAACUUCUUUGAUGUUAUAUCGUAUUCUAUAACAAUCAUUGCCAUGUGUUUUCGAUUUUCCAAUUCGACACCUUUAAACCACGCUUUUGCCAGACGGGUUUACAGUUUAAGUUUGUUUACAAUGUAUAUGAGAUUUCUUCAUGUCAUAUUGAUGUCAAGGAAACUAGGACCAAAGAUUAUCAUGAUCAAGGAAAUGUUAAAGGAUCUCCUUCGAUUCAUUGGAAUUUUAUGUGUGUUCAUGUUGGGUGUUGGGGUACUGUAUCAUGCAAAUAUGUACCCAAAACAUGUUGAUAUGUGGAACCCAGCAGGAUGGGAAUACUGGAGAAUAUGGAAAAUAAUGUAUAUCCCUUACUGGCAAAUGUAUGGGGAUUCCUUCCUGGAUACUUUCAAUGAAAACAGCACAACGCCAUGUACCACAAUACAAAGUGAAUGGGAAAACAAUCCUGAUAUAGAACGGUGUAAUCAGUAUGAUUGGAUACUUGGUGUGAUUGCUGCAUUAUAUAUGCUGAUAUCAAACCUUCUCCUCGUCAAUCUUGUGAUAGCUUUGUUUAGCUAUCGAUUUGAACGGGUUCAGGAAAAUUCAGAGAAACUAUGGCGAUACCUAAGAUAUGAAGUCAUCAUGGAUUUCAAAUCUAGAAUACCUGCUCCUCUUAACCUUAUCAUCAGACCACUACAAUUUCUGUUCAAGCGCUUUAAGACAAAGUGUAUAAAACCAGAACCACACAAACCUGAUAGCAGAUUAUUGGAUCGAAUAAAUACACUUCAAUCUAUACAUGCAAUUAACUGUGCGAAUAAUAUUUUGAGUUAAAAAUAGAUGCCUGAAAAGGAUAUUAUUAAUCACUUUUAUAUAUAUUACGCUGAUAUGGAGAAAAAGACCAACACAUACUUUUUAUAGAUUUUAGCAAUACGUUUUAUCUAUUUGUUUCUGCGUAGGUACAAUGACAAUGUAGUAGUAGUACUUUUUAGAAUAGCUGUAUUUUCUACUUCACACUUUUUAAUACUAGAUGAAUGUUAUAAGUUAUCGCUAUCAAUUUAUAAUUUGCAUAAGAUAUGUAUGCUUUCUUAUAACUUUUGAUUAUGUGAUAAUUUUUUUUCCUUUUUUAACUCCCUUCUUGUGUCCACCGCUGAUAUGAUUUACCUGAUAGUCUGAUUAAUUGAGGACAGCAUAACGUCUAAAAAACUUACAUUUCAGGAGCAUAACUGUUAAAUCGAAUGUUUAACAUGCAUAUCCAUAAUGAUCCAUAUAUAAGAUGUGGUAACUCUCCCUCGGGCUCAAUAUCCUGACCAAAACAUUGUUUUCUCUCCGGUGUCACUUGAAUGGGAAAUAAGCAGCUAAGACAUACUUCAGUCUUUCACUUUUAUUGUUGGGGACAGUCACUAAAUAUCCCAUCCGAGGGAAACAGAAUAUCGCGGAACCACCGAGGUACAGUUGGAACCUGCUCUCUCAAACUCUAUCAAAAAUUGUCAGUAAAACUGUUAUAGAAAAGUCUGUAAAAUAAUUUGCCGCCAAUGUUAGAACAAUUUCUGACAGAGGUAGCUCUACCGGCUAGAAUAGUUUUGGACGAUUCUAACCUUUAAAGAUAUUAAUAUAGCAGGAUACCUUGUUCGUGAAAGCUGUAGCAAUAAGGUAACUGUAACAUAUUUCGACUAAUAAAUUAAUUAUCAUUGUUAAAAAAAACCUGUUUUGGACAGAUCUUUACCUAGAAUAGUUUAAAACAUAUAUAUCUUACUUUUAACAUAGUUUUAGACAGUUCUACUGUAUACAUCGUAACUGAUUUUGCUAUCUUUACACAAGAACUGUUUAUGACAUGUCUUCUCUGAACGGAUCCUGACAGUUCUAUCCCUCCAACAGUUUUGGACAGCUCUUAUCAAUAUAUCUAAUAUUUUUUUAUAUUCAUUUAUUUUAACUUUAUAUACUAUUAAUUCAAUUAAUUUAUUUAUUUUCUUGUUGUACUUAUCCAAUUAUUCAUAGCAUUGCGGUCAAAAAAGUAAAUAUAAAGAGAGUUAAGUUCUGGCGCCUUUAACAUACAAGUAUAACGAAUUGAACGAAUGAUGUUACCGUAUUUGUCCUCAACCUUACUUCUUAACGAACCACAGGCCUUCAUUAAUCUAUAUGUCUAAGCAAAUGUUAUUAGAAUCUACCAACCAAAAUGAUACAAAUUUUAUUGGAGUGAUUACAAUGCAACUGUGGUAAACUAUUAAACCGCAAAAACUACUAAUCAGAAUUUGAUUAUAUUUAUCUUUACCCGAAAUGUAAAUAUAUCAAUGUUUGGUACGACUCAUUCAUGAGAGCAAUCUGUCGAAUAUGUAGAACAUUUUACAUUUUCGUUUUUCACAUCAGGUGCAGUUUAUCAAGUAUUGGUUCAGACUUCCGAACGAAAUAUAAAUAAAGAGAUAAGGAAUAAUUGCCAGAGAGAUAAUUAUUUAUAAUUCAAAAAGGACAAGUCUACACCAGAAUUUAACUUUGCAGUUUUACCGUAAACCAGUUUUGGACAGUUCUUUAUAGGACUGAAUCUGUCAGUUCAACCCUAGAACUGGUUCUUAAGGUUUUACCCUUAAUAAAAUGAGAAGUGGUAUGACUGCAUAUUGAGACAAAUAUCCAUUAAAGACCAAUAUUGGUAGCAGUUAAGUCACGAUACAUCCUUCAACAAUGACCGAACCCUUACCUAAUAGCCAGUCCACGAAAUGACAACAUGUAAAUAUAAUUCUAACAAGAAAUUUCAUCCCUGCUAUUUUUGACCAAUUUUCUGGCAGUUUCUCGCAGCAAUGAUAAUUUGGAAAAGUACCUAGCUACCAUAUAUGUUUUUAACGUUAUCACUAACGGCACCUGAACUCCGUAGGGUCAUAUCACUGUUUUACCAUUUAUUCCUAAUAACACAGUGAAUUAGUUGUACGGUGCUCCUAUGUUUUUAUAUAUAUUCAACUUUGUAAUAACUAUUUAUAACUAUUUUUUAUUAUUGUUGGUUUUUGUUUAACGUUAUAUAGCUAUAGUAAGUUAUCCAUGCUUUUGUGCAACUGCAUUUUGUUUUACUUGGUAACAUUGGAAAUGGUUUGUUUUUCCAUUUUCCAUUUUUAUGUUUUAUUAUUCUAUUGUUUCUUUUUCUACAUAUUAAUGGUCGACGAUAACUAAUACUUUUUAUUGAUAAAUGAUUAAAUGGUAAUAUAAUCUAAAGCUAUUCAUCGAAAAGGACUAAAAUACUGCAUUUGAUUCAAUUGGGUUGUGUUUUCGCCAAAUAUUUCGGGAAAGGCUGGCAAAACAUACCAUUUGUAUUAAUUGUGCACAUUUUCAUGAGUGUACAACACUAUUCCAUUUAUUUUGUUUUAAAAAGAAAAAUAAGUUUAAAAAGAAAUGUUUAAGAUUCGUGAAAAUCGUGUGAUGUGGUGAGCAUGGUGAUUGUUUUUUCAAUUUAUAUUUAUUUUAAGUUUGAAAAUUGAUUAUAAACAAACAAAUAAGUUUGAUUUAAAUAAUUUUUUUUAUGAACAGGUUAAAAAGAAGGCAACAACAGAAAAAUGUUUAACUCUCGUAAAUCUUUAUUGAAUUUUACAAACCAUAUGAAGGCUGUAAGGCUGUGUGAAUCCUAUGAACCGAUCUUUAACUCUCGUAAAUCUUUUUUGGAAUAUACAAAUACAAACCAAAUGAAACCUGUUUGAAUUUCACAAAUAGAGGCGAGACCGGUGUUACUGCAAAUAGACACCUCCUUCUUUGCAUGCAUAACUCACAUUUAGAAAUUUUUCUAAAUUGCCUGAUUCAUACAAAGACUGGCAUACCUCACAUUUAGAAUCAAUACUUAAUAAAAUCAAAUGUCGCGAUAUGAAUAAGGACACAACCAUGGCCGAACGAACUAAAUAUAUCACUCGUUAAGAAAUUUGUCAGUUUAUUGAUCAUUAGUAGAUCAUAAUAAUCAAUUAUCAUGUAAUCAAUAAUAGUUGAAUUGAAUUUUUAGCGAGUUGACCCCCGUAUGGUCAAAUCUAUUUUUCCUAUUUUAUCCUUAUGACACAAUGAAUUGUGCGGUGACUCCUUUGGUAUUAUAUAUAUUACAAUUUAGAGUUAAUUCCUUAAUAAUUUUUUUAUUGUUUUGUUUGUUUAAAUAUCAUUUAUAUAUAGUAAGUUAUCAAUAUGUUUGUUCAACUAUAUUUUAUACUCUUGAAUAUGUAGAUAGUCACAUGGGAUAUCCUUUGACAUUGACAUUGGCAAAGCUGAUUUUUAUAAGUCAAUGUAUUGUAUAAUUCAUGUGUUAUAUAAAUUGCAAGUGUAAUCAAUAUUUCUUUUAUGUAAGGGUUAAUAUUUUUCAAUUUUUUAAUAUUCAUGAUCAUGAUGUUUACUCUUUUUUUAAAUAUUCAUGUUUAUAGAGUUUGCAAUGAUUUCAAUACGUCGACGAUAACUAACAUUUACAAUUGAUGAAUGAAUGAAUGGUAAUAAAACCAAAGGUUAUUCACUGCAAAAUACUCCAUACUUUGAUUCAAUUGGGUUGUAUUUUCGCAAAAAAGUAGAAGAGCCGUGGAAAAUAUAUCAUAUUUAUUAAUUGUGCAACUGUAAUAUAUGACCAACACUAUUUUAUUCAUUUUGAAUUUGAAAAUGUUAGUUUAACAAAAUGUCAUCUAACGUUUUAACAUUCCUGUAGAUCUUGUGAUGUGGUGAAGCUUGGUGAUUAUUUAGUUUUCAGUUAACAUUUACUUCCAUCUAGAACAUUGAUUUUAAACAAAUGAAAAUAAAUUGAUAUAAAGCAUUA
This is a long non-coding RNA of Mytilus californianus (California mussel), 4840 nucleotides long. RefSeq lists it as uncharacterized. The transcript is spliced from 5 exons. The record is from RefSeq and is a predicted model, not a curated record. Lineage: Eukaryota; Metazoa; Mollusca; Bivalvia; Mytilida; Mytilidae.